GCCACCUUGGCUCCUAAAGGCCAGAUUUAGAGGAAGAGGGGGGCAAGCUUUGCGUACCUCAUUCGCAACACAGCUGGGAGGAAAGCAAACUGCCUGAAAUGCAGCCUAAGAAUUCGGUGAAGAAGGGAGCGCAGCAGACAAACAGGCCAGGUGCCGGCGAUGCAAAUGAAAUGGAUGACAGAUGGCGAGUAGCACGCUCACUCACUGCGCCUGUAUAAUGGAUAGAGACCCAGCCAAGGACUCUGAGAGGGUUGAGGGAAAAAAUAUCCUCCCUACAAAACCAUCAAGCCAAAAGAAGCAAGCCUCAAAAUACCUUUGCUAGUGUUCAAUUAUACAAUCACACUGACCAUCUCCAGGAUCUGGUUGCAGAAGUUUGAAAGGAUUUUCUCUCUACCUGCCUCAUAGGGCAUAAUACAGUGCUCCUGGGGCUCACAGCAGCCUUCUUCUAGAUGAAAGUGCAAGUUAUUAGAUUGAACAUCAUAAUCAUCAUAACAUCACUGAUACCAACAUUUCUUACUAUAAGAAGGCUUUCUGAACGUUUUAUAUCAAUAAAGAAUUGUUAUUUUUGGCA
This 571-nucleotide long non-coding RNA is filed under the name Vulpes vulpes (red fox). Its description in RNAcentral is "lncRNA (ENSVVUG00000021267.1)". The record is from RNAcentral. Lineage: Eukaryota; Metazoa; Chordata; Mammalia; Carnivora; Canidae.